Molecule: ribosomal RNA, 476 nt
Filed under: uncultured bacterium
Lineage: Bacteria
Description: partial 16S ribosomal RNA
Rfam family: Bacterial small subunit ribosomal RNA
Source: RNAcentral
AUGAACGCUGGCGGCGUGCCUAAUACAUGCAAGUCGAGCGAACAGACGAGGAGCUUGCUCCUCUGACGUUAGCGGCGGACGGGUGAGUAACACGUGGAUAACCUACCUAUAAGACUGGGAUAACUUCGGGAAACCGGAGCUAAUACCGGAUAAUAUAUUGAACCGCAUGGUUCAAUAGUGAAAGACGGUUUUGCUGUCACUUAUAGAUGGAUCCUCGCCGCAUUAGCUAGUUGGUAAGGUAACGGCUUACCAAGGCAUCGAUGCGUAGCCGACCUGAGAGGGGGACCGGCGACAGGGGGACUGAGAUAAGGCCCAGACGCCUACGGGAGGAAGCAGGUGGGAAGAUGGCACAAUGGGCGGAAGCCUGAUGAAGCAACGCCGCGGGCGGGAUGAAGGCCUUCGGGUUGUAAAACGCGGUCGCCUGGGACGAAGCGUGAGUGACGGGAAUGGGUAAAGAAGCACCGGCUAACGACGUG